Molecule: non-coding RNA, 73 nt
Organism: Mus musculus (house mouse)
Lineage: Eukaryota; Metazoa; Chordata; Mammalia; Rodentia; Muridae
Source: Rfam
GGAGAGAUGGCUCAGUUGUUAAGAGCACUGGCUGCUCUUCCAGUGAACCUGGGUUCGAGUCCCAGCACCUACA